RNAcentral lists this ribosomal RNA (330 nucleotides) under uncultured Chloroflexota bacterium. RNAcentral's name for it is "bacterial SSU rRNA". It matches the Rfam family "Bacterial small subunit ribosomal RNA", at positions 28 to 351 of the family's 1533-position model. Lineage: Bacteria; Bacillati; Chloroflexota. The record is from RNAcentral.
GAUAAACGCUGGCGGCGUGCCUAAUACAUGCAAGUCGAACGAGGAGUCCUUGUAGUAAUACUUGGACUUCCUAGUGGCGAAUGGGUGAGUAACGCGUUGGUGACCUGCCCCGAAGAGAGGAAUAACUCCGGGAAACUGGAGCUAAUACCUCAUGUGGUUACCAGGGUUAGAGGCCUGGCAACUGAAGGAGCAAUCCACUUUGGGAGGGACCUGCGUCCCAUCAGCUAGUUGGUAAGGUAACGGCCUACCAAGGCUACGACGGGUAGGGGGCCUGAGAGGGUGGCCCCCCACAAUGGAACUGAAACACGGUCCAUACACCUACGGGUGCAG